GGCCGCGUAGCUCAGUUGGCAGAGCAUUGGGCUAGUAUUCCAAAGGUCGUAGGUUCGAUUCCCACCGUGGCCG
Molecule: non-coding RNA, 73 nt
Organism: Paramuricea clavata
Lineage: Eukaryota; Metazoa; Cnidaria; Anthozoa; Malacalcyonacea; Plexauridae
Source: the annotation of a GenBank genome assembly